Molecule: non-coding RNA, 28 nt
Filed under: Rattus norvegicus (Norway rat)
Lineage: Eukaryota; Metazoa; Chordata; Mammalia; Rodentia; Muridae
Source: RNAcentral
UCGAACAGCUUGUGAUAGUUUGAGUUAA